GGAUCAUUACAGAGUUUAUCAAACUCCCAAACCCCUGUGAACAUUACCUUUUGUUGCCUCGGCGGAUAGAGCUACCCUGCGCUGCCUACCCGGUUGUCCGGGUAGCCACUACCGCCGGCGGCCCCGAAACUCUUGUUAUACCUUGCAGCUCUGAAUCAAACAAACAAAUAAGUUAAAACUUUCAACAACGGAUCUCUUGGUUCCGGCAUCGAUGAAGAACGCAGCGAAAUGCGAUACGUAGUGUGAAUUGCAGAAUUCAGUGAAUCAUCGAAUCUUUGAACGCACAUUGCGCCCAUUAGUACUCUAGUGGGCAUGCCUGUUCGAGCGUCAUUUCGACCAUUAAGCCCUGUCGCUUAGCGUUGGGAGCCUACGGCGCGGCCCGUAGCUCCUCAAAGUUAGUGGCGGAGUCCGGCACGUCUCUAGGCGCAGUAAUUCUUCUCGCCUCUGCAGCGGUCCGGCCCCCUGCCGUAAAACCCCCAACUAAAUACUGGUUGACCUCGGAUCAGGUAGGAAUACCCGCUGAACUUAAGCAUAUCAAUAAGCGGAGGAAAAGAAACCAACAGGGAUUGCCCUAGUAACGGCGAGUGAAGCGGCAACAGCUCAAAUUUGAAAUCUGGCUCUCGGGCCCGAGUUGUAAUUUGUAGAGGAUGAUUUUGGCGCGGUGCCUUCCGAGUUCCCUGGAACGGGACGCCUUAGAGGGUGAGAGCCCCGUACGGUUGGACGCUAAGCCUCUGUAAAUCUCCUUCGACGAGUCGAGUAGUUUGGGAAUGCUGCUCUAAAUGGGAGGUAAAUUUCUUCUAAAGCUAAAUACCGGCCAGAGACCGAUAGCGCACAAGUAGAGUGAUCGAAAGAUGAAAAGCACUUUGAAAAGAGGGUUAAACAGCACGUGAAAUUGUUGAAAGGGAAGCAUUUAUUACCAGACCUUUUCUGCUCGGAUCAUGCGGUGUUCUCACCGCUGCACUCCGUGCAGUUUAGGCCAGCAUCGGUUUUCGCAGGGGGAUAAAAGCGGGGGGAACGUAGCUCCCUCGGGAUGUGUUAUAGCCCCUCGACAUAGUACCCCCGCGGGGACUGAGGACCGCGCU
Molecule: ribosomal RNA, 1082 nt
Filed under: uncultured fungus
Lineage: Eukaryota; Fungi
Description: eukaryotic LSU rRNA
Rfam family: Eukaryotic large subunit ribosomal RNA (bases 493-1082)
Source: RNAcentral